UGCAAGUAGAACGCUGAAGGAGGAGCUUGCUUCUCUGGAUGAGUUGCGAACGGGUGAGUAACGCGUAGGUAACCUGCCUGGUAGCGGGGGAUAACUAUUGGAAACGAUAGCUAAUACCGCAUAACGGUAGAUGUUGCAUGACAUUUGCUUAAAAGGUGCAAUUGCAUCACUACCAGAUGGACCUGCGUUGUAUUAGCUAGUUGGUGGGGUAACGGCUCACCAAGGCGACGAUACAUAGCCGACCUGAGAGGGUGAUCGGCCACACUGGGACUGAGACACGGCCCAGACUCCUACGGGAGGCAGCAGUAGGGAAUCUUCGGCAAUGGACGGAAGUCUGACCGAGCAACGCCGCGUGAGUGAAGAAGGUUUUCGGAUCGUAAAGCUCUGUUGUAAGAGAAGAACGAGUGUGAGAGUGGAAAGUUCGCACUGUGACGGUAUCUUACCAGAAAGGGACGGCUAACUACGUGCCAGCAGCCGCGGUAAUACGUAGGUCCCGAGCGUUGUCCGGAUUUAUUGGGCGUAAAGCGAGCGCAGGCGGUUAGAUAAGUCUGAAGUUAAAGGCUGUGGCUUAACCAUAGUACGCUUUGGAAAC
RNAcentral lists this ribosomal RNA (592 nucleotides) under uncultured Bacilli bacterium. Its description in RNAcentral is "bacterial SSU rRNA". It matches the Rfam family "Bacterial small subunit ribosomal RNA", at positions 56 to 633 of the family's 1533-position model. The record is from RNAcentral. Lineage: Bacteria; Bacillati; Bacillota; Bacilli.